UGAAUACCAUCAAUAAAGUUCACUGC
This 26-nucleotide non-coding RNA is filed under the name Cricetulus griseus (Chinese hamster). Lineage: Eukaryota; Metazoa; Chordata; Mammalia; Rodentia; Cricetidae. The record is from RNAcentral.